Molecule: ribosomal RNA, 1382 nt
Filed under: Enterobacter hormaechei
Lineage: Bacteria; Pseudomonadati; Pseudomonadota; Gammaproteobacteria; Enterobacterales; Enterobacteriaceae
Description: bacterial SSU rRNA
Rfam family: Bacterial small subunit ribosomal RNA
Source: RNAcentral
GCUGCGCGCUACAUGCAGUCGACGGUACAGGAAGCAGCUUGCUGCUUCGCUGACGAGUGGCGGACGGGUGAGUAAUGUCUGGGAAACUGCCUGAUGGAGGGGGAUAACUACUGGAAACGGUAGCUAAUACCGCAUAACGUCGCAAGACCAAAGAGGGGGACCUUCGGGCCUCUUGCCAUCGGAUGUGCCCAGAUGGGAUUAGCUAGUAGGUGGGGUAACGGCUCACCUAGGCGACGAUCCCUAGCUGGUCUGAGAGGAUGACCAGCCACACUGGAACUGAGACACGGUCCAGACUCCUACGGGAGGCAGCAGUGGGGAAUAUUGCACAAUGGGCGCAAGCCUGAUGCAGCCAUGCCGCGUGUAUGAAGAAGGCCUUCGGGUUGUAAAGUACUUUCAGCGGGGAGGAAGGUGAUGAGGUUAAUAACCUCGUCAAUUGACGUUACCCGCAGAAGAAGCACCGGCUAACUCCGUGCCAGCAGCCGCGGUAAUACGGAGGGUGCAAGCGUUAAUCGGAAUUACUGGGCGUAAAGCGCACGCAGGCGGUCUGUCAAGUCGGAUGUGAAAUCCCCGGGCUCAACCUGGGAACUGCAUUCGAAACUGGCAGGCUAGAGUCUUGUAGAGGGGGGUAGAAUUCCAGGUGUAGCGGUGAAAUGCGUAGAGAUCUGGAGGAAUACCGGUGGCGAAGGCGGCCCCCUGGACAAAGACUGACGCUCAGGUGCGAAAGCGUGGGGAGCAAACAGGAUUAGAUACCCUGGUAGUCCACGCCGUANACGAUGUCGACUUGGAGGUUGUGCCCUUGANGCGUGGCUUCCGGAGCUAACGCGUUAAGUCGACCGCCUGGAGAGUACGGCCGNCAGGUUAAAACUCAUAUGAAUUGACGGGCGCCCGCACAAGCGGUGGAGCAUGUGGUUUAAUUCGAUGNCACGCGAAGAACCUUUACUACUNCUGACAUCCAGAGAACUUANCAGAGAUGCUUUGGUGCCUUCGGGGACUCUNGAGACAGUGCUGCAUGGCUGUCGUCAGCUCGUGUUGUGAAAAUGUGGGUUAAGUCCCCGCACGAGCGCACCCCUUUAUCUUUGGUGGCAGCGNUUAGGCCGGGGACUCAAAGGAAACUGCCAGUGAUAAACUGGAGGAAAGGUGGGGAUGACNUCAANUCAUCAGGCCCUUACGAGUAGGGCUACCCCCGUGCUAAAUGGGGCAAACAAAGAAAAGCGACUUCCCGGAACAAGGGCACCCUAAAAGGGGGCCUUAACCGGGAUGGGCUCCGCACUCCCCCCUUAAGCGGAAUCCCUUUUAUCGUGAAAAAAGGCCCCGGGGAUACUUUCUCGGCUUGUAACACCCCCUCCCAAGGGAGGGGUGUGAAAAAAGAUAUUUACUCGGGC